UCGAUGAAGAACGCAGUUAACUGCGCGUCAUAGUGUGAACUGCAGGACACGUUUGAACAUCGACAUUUCGAACGCACAUUGCGGUCUGUGGGGUUACAUCCAGGACCACUCCUGUCUGAGGGCCG
Molecule: ribosomal RNA, 125 nt
Filed under: Heliconius melpomene (postman butterfly)
Lineage: Eukaryota; Metazoa; Arthropoda; Insecta; Lepidoptera; Nymphalidae
Description: 5.8S ribosomal RNA
Rfam family: 5.8S ribosomal RNA
About the family: 5.8S ribosomal RNA (5.8S rRNA) is a component of the large subunit of the eukaryotic ribosome.
Source: RNAcentral